This 814-nucleotide long non-coding RNA is filed under the name Parus major (Great Tit). Its description in RNAcentral is "lncRNA (ENSPMJG00000011329.1)". Lineage: Eukaryota; Metazoa; Chordata; Aves; Passeriformes; Paridae. The record is from RNAcentral.
CAGCACCACAAUCAGUGCCCUUACAGCUUUGAGCUGAAAUAGGCGAGAUCUACAUGACUGAGAGAAAUUUUUUUUAAUCAGGAUCAGGUUUGGGUUCUUCCAUUGCUGCAGCAUUGUGGUGGUGGUGUAGCAGACUUGUCACACUUAGUCAAUCUGCUUUUCUCUUACAGGAACCAUGGUGGGGCUGGAUUAAUAGCUGGACUUGAUCUAAGAUGCCUUCUCCAACCUGAAUGAUUCCAUGAGAACUGCAACACAUGCUGUCCUUUGUGCCCUGUGACUUCUGUGCAGGGGGAAAUUCUCUUACCAGUAAACUCUAAGAGAUGAAAGAAGAUCAUGGAGUGCACAGACUGCUGGAUUGGGGGAAAAAACAUAGCAGGUUGAACCCUUAUACCUUCUUAUCCCAUCAAUACACAGCCAUGAGCAAGUGAGAGAUAUUUCAGUGCAUCUUGCAGAAGAAUCACAGAGCAGCAAAGCUUUCAGGAGGCUGAAGGAAACAGGAGAAUCAAGAAACCCACAGUUCACCACAGUGCCCAGAAGAGAAAAAAACCCAAGAAAAAUCUCAACCCCUUCCAAAUCUGCAGGAGGUGUUUGAGAAAGUGAAGUUUACAUGGCACAGAAGACAACUCAAAGCUGAGAAAGGACAACUAAAUGCAAGAUUUAUGACUGUAAUGAGAGCGGUCAUACAGUUACAAGCCUCAGGCAUUAUAGUUCUGUGUAAAAAAUAUGGAUCUGUCUGAGGAAUAACAUGGAAGUAUAGCAAAGUAAAGCAAAUAGUAAAGCAAAGAAAAAAAAUAAACAAGCAACAAAUUGAUCA